GCUACAUAGGGUAAACGUGCAGAAAAAUAUAUAGAACUCAUGACUCAAAAAUAGAGAGGAGUUUUUAAUUUAUUUGUGUAAUUUCUUUUAAAGUAUUGUGUUUUGUAUUUCUUGGGAAAUUUCUGCAAGUAACUUAUGGAUUAAAAUCAUAUGUUGCAGUUUGGCUAGACAAGGAAUGUAACUUAUAUGAACUCGGGAAAAAUUGGGAAACUUUUUUCCAAAGUUAAAGAAGUUCGAAAUUGAUGCUUCGAAGUGUUGUGUAUCAAUCAUAUUUGUACCCCUUUUUUUUUUUGUUACAUUUAUUCUUUUCUUAGUAUUUUAAAUUUGAGAUGAUGAUAGAGUAUAUGAAUUUGGUUGUGAUUUUUGUAAUUUCAAUUUUGAUGUGUUUGGUUGAAUGUAUAUAUUUUUUGAAACAGGGUUUGAAUAUAUUUUGGAGAAUUCUAACUAGUAGCAAAUAAAAUAUUAUUGCUGAA
Molecule: long non-coding RNA, 473 nt
Organism: Camellia sinensis
Lineage: Eukaryota; Viridiplantae; Streptophyta; Magnoliopsida; Ericales; Theaceae
Source: RefSeq, a predicted model, not a curated record